RNAcentral lists this unclassified non-coding RNA (323 nucleotides) under Hevea brasiliensis (rubber tree). Lineage: Eukaryota; Viridiplantae; Streptophyta; Magnoliopsida; Malpighiales; Euphorbiaceae. The record is from RNAcentral.
AACAUAAAACAACUUAUAGGUCCAAUUGAAAAGUGAUAAAUUUCAAGAUCUAUCAAUCAAAAAAUCACAUAUGACCUAGAAAUAACCUCCUUUUGAAAAUUUGAAAGAACCCAAACUAAAAGAAAAAGGAAGAAAGAAGAGAAUUUUCAUCUCGAAACAAGAUCUUCAUUUUAAAAUACACCAAUCACCUAAAAAAGAAGAAAAAAACUAUAGGAUUUUAGCAGUUCCCCAUAAGAGAAAAUUUUCAUUUCAAGAAGAACCAAAGCCAAACUAAAACUCAAACCCAAAAAUUCAUUAUGUGAAUAGGAAACAAAAAUGUUGAG